This 491-nucleotide ribosomal RNA is filed under the name uncultured bacterium. RNAcentral's name for it is "SSU rRNA". It matches the Rfam family "Bacterial small subunit ribosomal RNA", at positions 26 to 503 of the family's 1533-position model. The record is from RNAcentral.
AGAACGAACGCUGGCGGCGUGGAUAAGACAUGCAAGUCGAACGCGACUUAUCAGAUUAGCAAUAAUUUGGUAAGUUGAGUGGCGAAAGGGUGCGUAACACGUGGGAAUUUACCAAGAAGUGGGGAAUAGCUCGACGAAAGUCGAAUUAAUACCGCAUAUGAUCGCAAGAUCAAAGCCGGGGACCGCAAGGCCUGGCGCUUUUUGAGAAGCCCGCGGCCCAUCAGCUAGUUGGCGGGGUAACGGCCCACCAAGGCUAUGACGGGUAGCUGGUCUGAGAGGACGACCAGCCACACUGGAACUGAGACACGGUCCAGACACCUACGGGUGGCAGCAGUCGAGAAUUUUUCACAAUGGACGAAAGUCUGAUGGAGCGACGCCGCGUGGAGGAUGAAGGUUUUCGGAUUGUAAACUCCUGUCACUGCAGAACAAGGAUGCGUUUAUGAAUAGUAGAUGCAUUUGAUGGUAUGCGGAGAGGAAGGGACGGCUAACGU